AGGGCGCACGGUGGAUGCCUUGGCACUAGGAGCCGAUGAAGGACGGGACUAACACCGAUAUGCUUUGGGGAGCUGUACGUAAGCUAUGAUCCAGAGAUUUCCGAAUGGGGGAACCCAACAUCUUUAAUAGGAUGUUACGAUUGUGUGAAUACAUAGCACAUUCGAGGUAGACGCAGAGAACUGAAACAUCUAAGUACCUGCAGGAAGAGAAAGAAAAUUCGAUUCCCUGAGUAGCGGCGAGCGAAACGGGAAAAGCCCAAACCAGCAAGCUUGCUUGUUGGGGUUGUAGGACUCCAAUAUGGUAGUUCUUUCAGAUAGUCGAAUGACUUGGAAAAGUCAGUCAAAGAGGGUAAAAACCCCGUAGACGAAAUGUGGAAGACACCUAGGAGGAUCCUGAGUACGGCGGAACACGAGAAAUUCCGUCGGAAUCCGGGAGGACCAUCUCCCAAGGCUAAAUACUCCCUAGUGACCGAUAGUGAACCAGUACCGUGAGGGAAAGGUGAAAAGCACCCCGGAAGGGGAGUGAAAUAGAACCUGAAACCGUGUGCCUACAACAAGUCAAAGCCCGUUAAUGGGUGAUGGCGUGCCUUUUGUAGAAUGAACCGGCGAGUUACGAUUGCAUGCGAGGUUAAGUUGAAGAGACGGAGCCGCAGCGAAAGCGAGUCUGAAUAGGGCGUUUGAGUAUGUAGUCGUAGACCCGAAACCAUGUGAUCUACCCAUGUCCAGGUUGAAGGUGCGGUAAAACGCACUGGAGGACCGAACCCACGUACGUUGAAAAGUGCGGGGAUGAGGUGUGGGUAGCGGAGAAAUUCCAAACGAACUUGGAGAUAGCUGGUUCUCUCCGAAAUAGCUUUAGGGCUAGCCUCGGAAUUGAGAAUGAUGGAGGUAGAGCACUGUUUGGACUAGGGGCCCAUCUCGGGUUACCGAAUUCAGAUAAACUCCGAAUGCCAUUCAUUCAUAUCCGGGAGUCAGACUGUGAGUGAUAAGAUCCAUAGUCGAAAGGGAAACAGCCCAGACCACCAGCUAAGGUCCCAAAAUAUAUGUUAAGUGGAAAAGGAUGUGGGGUUGCACAGACAACUAGGAUGUUGGCUUAGAAGCAGCCAUCAUUUAAAGAGUGCGUAAUAGCUCACUAGUCGAGUGACCCUGCGCCGAAAAUGUACCGGGGCUAAACAUAUUACCGAAGCUGUGGAGUACACCUUUAGGUGUAUUGGUAGGAGAGCGUUCUAAGGGCGUUGAAGGCAGAUCGUGAGGACUGCUGGAGCGCUUAGAAGUGAGAAUGCCGGUAUGAGUAGCGAAAGACAGGUGAGAAUCCUGUCCACCGAAUGACUAAGGUUUCCUGGGGAAGGCUCGUCCGCCCAGGGUUAGUCGGGACCUAAGCCGAGGCCGACAGGCGUAGGCGAUGGAUAACAGGUUGAUAUUCCUGUACCCGUUGUUUUUGUUUGAGCAAUGGAGGGACGCAGGAGGCUAAGGAAUGCAGACGAUCGGAAAUGUCUGUCCAAGCAGUAAGUCUGAAGAGGAGUCAAAUGCUUCUUUUCUUAAGGACAAGCUGUGAUGGGGAGGGAAAUAAUAGUACCGAAGUUCCUGAUGUCACACUGCCGAGAAAAGCUUCUAGUGAGAAAACAGCGGCCCGUACCGCAAACCGACACAGGUAGUCGAGGAGAGAAUCCUAAGGUGAGCGAGAGAACUCUCGUUAAGGAACUCGGCAAAAUGACCCCGUAACUUCGGGAGAAGGGGUGCUGAUCAUACGAUCAGCCGCAGUGAAUAGGCCCAAGCGACUGUUUAUCAAAAACACAGGUCUCUGCAAAAUCGUAAGAUGAAGUAUAGGGGCUGACGCCUGCCCGGUGCUGGAAGGUUAAGAGGAGUGCUUAGCGCAAGCGAAGGUACGAAUUGAAGCCCCAGUAAACGGCGGCCGUAACUAUAACGGUCCUAAGGUAGCGAAAUUCCUUGUCGGGUAAGUUCCGACCCGCACGAAAGGCGUAACGAUUUGGGCACUGUCUCAACGAGAGACUCGGUGAAAUUUUAGUACCUGUGAAGAUGCAGGUUACCCGCGACAGGACGGAAAGACCCCAUGGAGCUUUACUGUAGUUUGAUAUUGAGUGUCUGUACCGCAUGUACAGGAUAGGUAGGAGCCGUAGAAAUCGGAACGCUAGUUUCGAUGGAGGCGCUGGUGGGAUACUACCCCUGCGUUAUGGCCACUCUAACCCGCACCACUAAUCGUGGUGGGAGACAGUGUCAGAUGGGCAGUUUGACUGGGGCGGUCGCCUCCUAAAAGGUAACGGAGGCGCCCAAAGGUUCCCUCAGAAUGGUUGGAAAUCAUUCGAAGAGUGUAAAGGCAGAAGGGAGCUUGACUGCGAGACCAACAAGUCGAGCAGGGACGAAAGUCGGGCUUAGUGAUCCGGUGGUUCCGCAUGGAAGGGCCAUCGCUCAACGGAUAAAAGCUACCCUGGGGAUAACAGGCUUAUCUCCCCCAAGAGUCCACAUCGACGGGGAGGUUUGGCACCUCGAUGUCGGCUCGUCGCAUCCUGGGGCUGUAGUCGGUCCCAAGGGUUGGGCUGUUCGCCCAUUAAAGCGGCACGCGAGCUGGGUUCAGAACGUCGUGAGACAGUUCGGUCCCUAUCCGUCGCGGGCGUUGGAAAUUUGAGAGGAGCUGUCCUUAGUACGAGAGGACCGGGAUGGACUUACCGCUGGUGUACCAGUUGUUCUGCCAAGGGCAUUGCUGGGUAGCUAUGUAGGGAAGGGAUAAACGCUGAAAGCAUCUAAGUGUGAAGCCCACCUCAAGAUGAGAUUUCCCAUUUCU
Molecule: ribosomal RNA, 2797 nt
Filed under: Enterococcus faecium
Lineage: Bacteria; Bacillati; Bacillota; Bacilli; Lactobacillales; Enterococcaceae
Description: bacterial LSU rRNA
Rfam family: Bacterial large subunit ribosomal RNA
Source: RNAcentral